GAUGAAGAACGCAGCGAAAUGCGAUAAGUAAUGUGAAUUGCAGAAUUCAGUGAAUCAUCGAAUCUUUGAACGCACAUUGCGCCCGCCAGCAUACUGGCGGGCAUGCCUGUUCGAGCGUCAUUUCAACCCUCAAGCUCUGCUUGGUGUUGGGGCCCUACGGUUGACGUAGGCCCUUAAAGGUAGUGGCGGACCCUCUCGGAGCCUCCUUUGCGUAGUAACUAACGUCUCGCAUUGGGAUUCGGAGGGAUUCUUGCCGUAAAACCCCCAAAUUUUCUAAUGGUUGACCUCGGAUCAGGUAGGAAUAUCCGCUGAACUUAAGCAUAUCAAUAAGCGGAGGA
RNAcentral lists this unclassified non-coding RNA (338 nucleotides) under soil metagenome. Its description in RNAcentral is "partial contains 5.8S ribosomal RNA, internal transcribed spacer 2, and large subunit ribosomal RNA". The stretch from base 1 to 120 matches the Rfam family "5.8S ribosomal RNA", at positions 35 to 154 of the family's 154-position model. The record is from RNAcentral.